This 395-nucleotide ribosomal RNA is filed under the name uncultured bacterium. RNAcentral describes it as "bacterial SSU rRNA". It matches the Rfam family "Bacterial small subunit ribosomal RNA", at positions 30 to 429 of the family's 1533-position model. The record is from RNAcentral.
AUUGAACGCUGGCGGCAUGCCUUACACAUGCAAGUCGAACGGCAGCGGACCUUCGGGUGCCGGCGAGUGGCGAACGGGUGAGUAAUAUAUCGGAACGUACCUUUCAGUGGGGGAUAACGUAGCGAAAGUUACGCUAAUACCGCAUAUUCUGUGAGCAGGAAAGCAGGGGAUCGCAAGACCUUGCGCUGAUUGAGCGGCCGAUAUCAGAUUAGCUAGUUGGUGAGGUAAAGGCUCACCAAGGCGACGAUCUGUAGCGGGUCUGAGAGGAUGAUCCGCCACACUGGAACUGAGACACGGUCCAGACUCCUACGGGAGGCAGCAGUGGGGAAUUUUGGACAAUGGGGGCAACCCUGAUCCAGCCAUGCCGCGUGAGUGAAGAAGGCCUCGGUUGUAAG